AAGAAAUCCACUAUCAGAGAUUACCAAGAAAAGUCUGGUUUCCCGGCCGCAGUCACGUCUGCAGAGGAAUCUCAUCUCAUCAGGAACUGCCAUCCCCACUCCAGACACAGAAGGAACUCCGACCUGUCCCACCAUCACUCCCAACCCUCUUGAACUUAAAGAUCUUCUGUGAAUAUUUGAAGGCAACUCAAAAUGAGGUUCUUAGAGACACUGAAAAUGCAAUGACUUUUCCAAGCUUCCCUCCAGUACCGUGCCCGGUGGGGAGAUUAAUCCACCCUCCACUGAUGAAGUCAGCAUGUCUAGGAGCCUCUACUGAUUGUGAAUUAGAGGCUGUUCACUUACUCUCCGCUGCUGGGAAAGCAGCCACAGUAGCUCCAAGUCUUUGUUCCCCCCAGAAGCCAAUUAACCCUAUGGGUGGAAAAUACAUUUUCUGACCCAGCUGCAGUUUUUUAUUUCCUAGUCUCCCCUUCAA
Molecule: long non-coding RNA, 472 nt
Organism: Eptesicus fuscus (big brown bat)
Lineage: Eukaryota; Metazoa; Chordata; Mammalia; Chiroptera; Vespertilionidae
Exons: 3
Source: RefSeq, a predicted model, not a curated record